Molecule: ribosomal RNA, 206 nt
Filed under: uncultured bacterium
Lineage: Bacteria
Description: partial 16S ribosomal RNA
Rfam family: Bacterial small subunit ribosomal RNA
Source: RNAcentral
UGCGUAGGCGGGUCUUUAAGUCAGGGGUGAAAUCCUGGAGCUCAACUCCAGAACUGCCUUCGAUACUGAAGAUCUUGAGUUCGGGAGAGGUAAGUGGAACUGCGAGUGUAGAGGUGAAAUUCGUAGAUAUUCGCAAGAACACCAGUGGCGAAGGCGGCUCACUGGCCCGAUACUGACGCUGAGGCACGAAAGCGUGGGAGCAAACA